Molecule: ribosomal RNA, 253 nt
Filed under: uncultured bacterium
Lineage: Bacteria
Description: partial 16S ribosomal RNA
Rfam family: Bacterial small subunit ribosomal RNA
Source: RNAcentral
UACGUAGGGGGCAAGCGUUGUCCGGAUUUAUUGGGCGUAAAGAGCGUGUAGACGGCCAUGCAGGUCCGCUGUGAAAACUGGAGGCUUAACCUCCAGACGUCGGUGGAAACCGCAUGGCUAGAGUCCGGAAGAGGAGAGUGGAAUUCCCGGUGUAGCGGUGAAAUGCGCAGAUAUCGGGAAGAACACCCGUGGCGAAGGCGGCUCUCUGGGACGGUACUGACGCUGAGACGCGAAAGCGUGGGGAGCGAACAGG